GCCGAAGAAGGCACUGCUGCUGCUGGUGUCAUGGAUGUUAAUACUGCUUUACAUGAGGAUGGCCUAGCACGUGGAAUUCACAAAGCUGGCAACUUUAGACAAGCACCGAGCCCAUCUUUGUGUGUUUGCACCCAACUACGAUGAGCCUGUGUAUAUCAAGUUGGUGCAGGCCCUUUGCGCUGAAUACCAAAUCAACCUAAUUAAGGCUGAUGACGACAGGAGACUAGGGGAAUAGGUAGGCUUCUGUAAAACUGACAAAGGAAAAACUCUGUAAAGUGGCUGGUUGCAAUUGUGCAGUUGUGCUGUAGGACUAUGGCAAAGAAUCUCAGGUCAAGGAUGUCACUGAAGAGUACUUCAAA
Molecule: long non-coding RNA, 359 nt
Filed under: Homo sapiens (human)
Lineage: Eukaryota; Metazoa; Chordata; Mammalia; Primates; Hominidae
Description: non-protein coding lnc-KDM1B-4:1
Source: RNAcentral